GCCUAGAUAGCUCAGUUGGUUAGACAGAGCACGGUGCCGAUAACGCCAAGGUUGCAGGUUUGAUCCCUGUAUGGGACA
This is a non-coding RNA of Podarcis lilfordi (Lilford's wall lizard), 78 nucleotides long. The record is from the annotation of a GenBank genome assembly. NCBI's taxonomy places the organism in Eukaryota, Metazoa, Chordata, Lepidosauria, Squamata, Lacertidae.